AGAGUUUGAUCCUGGCUCAGGAUAAACGCUGGCGGCGUGCCUUAUGCAUGCAAGUCGAACGAUUCUUCCCGCAAGGGAAGGAUAGUGGCAAACGGGUGAGUAAUACGUAAGUGACCUGCCCCUAAGUAAGGAAUAACUCUGAGAAAUCGGAGCUAAUACUUUAUGUGAUGGUGGAAGUAGUGUUUCAUCAUUAAAGCCUUCGGGUGCUUAGGGAGGGGCUUGCGUCCGAUUAGCUAGUUGGUGGGGUAAUGGCCUACCAAGGCGAUGAUCGGUAGCUGGUCUGAGAGGAUGAUCAGCCACACUGGGACUGAGACACGGCCCAGACUCCUACGGGAGGCAGCAGCAAGGAAUAUUGCGCAAUGGGCGAAAGCCUGACGCAGCGACGCCGCGUGGGGGAUGAAGGCCUUCGGGUUGUAAACCCCUUUUCUCAGGGAGGAAUAAUGACAGUACCUGAGGAAUAAGCCAUGGCCAACUACGUGCCAGCAGCUGCGGUAAUACGUAGGUGGCGAGCGUUAUCCGGAUUUACUGGGCGUAAAGAGGGCGCAGGCGGCUUUGCAAGUCGGGUGUAAAAUCUCUCGGCUUAACCGAGAGGGAUCAUCCGAUACUGCUGAGCUAGAGGGCAACAGGGGGAGGUAGAAUUCCCGGUGUAGUGGUGAAAUGCGUAGAUAUCGGGAGGAAUACCAGUGGCGAAGGCGGCCUCCCAGGUUGUUUCUGACGCUGAUGCCCGAAAGUGUGGGGAGCAAACAGGAUUAGAUACCCUGGUAGUCC
RNAcentral lists this ribosomal RNA (768 nucleotides) under uncultured bacterium. RNAcentral describes it as "bacterial SSU rRNA". It matches the Rfam family "Bacterial small subunit ribosomal RNA", at positions 8 to 796 of the family's 1533-position model. The record is from RNAcentral.